GGGAAACCGGAGCUAAUACCGGAUAAUAUAUUGAACCGCAUGGUUCAAUAGUGAAAGACGGUUUUGCUGUCACUUAUAGAUGGAUCCGCGCCGCAUUAGCUAGUUGGUAAGGUAACGGCUUACCAAGGCGACGAUGCGUAGCCGACCUGAGAGGGUGAUCGGCCACACUGGAACUGAGACACGGUCCAG
This 189-nucleotide ribosomal RNA is filed under the name uncultured Staphylococcus sp. RNAcentral's name for it is "partial 16S ribosomal RNA". It matches the Rfam family "Bacterial small subunit ribosomal RNA", at positions 151 to 334 of the family's 1533-position model. Lineage: Bacteria; Bacillati; Bacillota; Bacilli; Caryophanales; Staphylococcaceae. The record is from RNAcentral.